This 315-nucleotide ribosomal RNA is filed under the name uncultured eukaryote. RNAcentral's name for it is "partial 18S ribosomal RNA". It matches the Rfam family "Eukaryotic small subunit ribosomal RNA", at positions 1470 to 1796 of the family's 1831-position model. The record is from RNAcentral.
CCCUUAGAUGUUCUGGGCCGCACGCGCGCUACACUGACGAAUGCAACGAGCUUAUAACCUUGGCCGAAAGGUCUGGGUAAUCUCCAAAUUUCGUCGUGAUGGGGAUAGAUUAUUGCAAUUAUUAAUCUUCAACGAGGAAUGCCUAGUAAGCGCAAGUCAUCAGCUUGCGUUGAUUACGUCCCUGCCCUUUGUACACACCGCCCGUCGCUCCUACCGAUUGAAUGGUCCGGUGAAGCCUCCGGAUUGCACAGGCCCCGUGUCUGGCGCGAGAAGUUGGCUAAACCUUACCAUUUAGAGGAAGGUGAAGUCGUAACA